RNAcentral lists this long non-coding RNA (1439 nucleotides) under Physcomitrium patens. Its description in RNAcentral is "long non-coding RNA (PPAT_LNC008618)". Lineage: Eukaryota; Viridiplantae; Streptophyta; Bryopsida; Funariales; Funariaceae. The record is from RNAcentral.
AUCCUGCCACUUGCUCCCACAUGCAGAGUAUUCAUGGCUUAACUUUCUACUAAAAACUGAGCGAGACAGAUAUCGAUAACACUAACUUUAGCGAUAAGCAGGCAUGUUGCAACAACAUGCAGAGUGAAGAGAGAGAGGAAAUGUACAUGUUUACAGUCUAAUUUUUCCAGGCAGAUCGCUGAUUUGGAGGUCGGUUCGGCGUCCCCUGUGAAUACCCUGAGCCUGAACGAGCAGACCGAGGCGAGCUCAUCGGUAGUUGCCCUGAGCCCGAAAAAGUAGCACACGGAGGCGAGGUUGUCGGUUGUUGCCCUGAGCAUGAACUAGCAGACGGAGGCGACCUCGUCGGUAGUUGCCCUGAGCCCGAAAAAGUGGCACACGGAGGCGAGGUUGUCGGUUGUUGCCAUGAGCCUGAAUGAGCAGACGGAGGCGACCUCGUCGGUGGUUGUCCUGAGCCUUGAUGACUAGGCUGGGCAGAGUUCGUUGUCGACGUUACUAAUUGUGAAUUCCUGUACCUAUCAGCACGCUUCACGUAUAGUGGUUUCUCAUUGUCGGGAGGACGAGAGAUGUAUGGAAGAUAGGGACUUUCAACAAGGUACACCCAGGUUUUCACAACGCUCAUGUUCACUCGAAAACCAGGAAAGACAGUUAAUAGAACCGCAAGGUUGUAGUCGUUGUCCUCCUCGUCGUCACCCAUUCCAGGCACGGAAGAUAUCAUGUAAUUCCUGUCAAAUCUAUGCUCUCGCUCGGGGUAGAUCGGCAUGACUCUGUCCUCAAACGAAGACGCCAACCUCUGGAGCAGCCAGAAAGACACUGCUGCGCCUAAAAAACUCCUGUAGAAGGGGUGAUUGAGGUGCUUUUUACUUAUUUCAUUGGUAGACAAAGCUCCUUCAAAGAAUCCACCCCCCGCGUCCAGAGUUAGGAGCAUCUCGAACUUCUUCGUACAGAAGUCUGAGAUAUGCGUUUCAUUUAACUCGUUUCUCAACAAUUUGGCUACUGUUUCACCCUUGACUUUGUACUUCAGAAACUGUUGAAAGCAAUCUCUCGAAUGUUCUUGCUGCCACGAGGACUGUCCUGCACGUCUGAUGCCAAAAGAGGAAUUUUCGAAGUCAGCAAACAACAGUUGGCAAAGGCAAGCCUGAACCAAGUGUCUUAGGUCGACUAUUGGUGCAUCAAUCGGCACGCUCAAGCGUUGCAUCAUCUGCACUUUCAUGGCCGUUUGCACUUCAACAUUAGCUGUCUUAAAUGGUGCCAAAAAAUCUUUACAGAACUGAUUAAGCGCUUCCCGUGCUGCAGACUGGGUGGUUGUAAGAAUGGCGGGUGAUGGUGCUGUCCCAUCGUCGAUGUAUGCGCCCCGAGAAGAUCGUUGGACAAUUUGUUCUGGACAGAGCAUCGCCCUAGCAGUCUCCGGACGUCUCUGAGCUCCUGCAUUGGUCAUCUCU